UCUCUCUCUCUCUCUCUCUCUCUCUCUCUCUCUCUCUCUCUCUCUCUCUCUUCCAUCACCAUGUAUGUGAAUGUCAUGUGUAAGAUAUGGUGAGAUCUAAAGGUACAGUAAGCUUUCCCUGACUCCCACGAAGACAGUGACCCUUCACCACCAUCACCAUCGGCAUCAUCAUCAUCUUCUUCAAAAAAAAUUGUUCUUCUUUAAACCCUUCACUGCAAAAGCAAUUAAAUCUAUAUUUCACCAUCUUCCCUUUUCUUUGUCAAGUUACUGUGUUCUUCACUACUUCGCUGAGCUUAGGGAUUUAGGGUUUCCAGACAGCUGCAAGCUUCAUCAGACCAUCCACAUCUAAUCAUUGUCGCUCAAGAACUAUUUCAGACAUGGACAGAAAACACAAGGGGGUAGAAGCAUCUGCUGACUCAUUCAUUCAAGCACUCGGUAGAAUGAUAUCGGAGACAUUAAAAUCUGCUGCGUGGCUGUGUGAAUGAUGCGGGAGAUACUUUUUCAUCCCUCUUUCUCUGUGCUUGGACUGAAGGGAGCUCCUUCUUUCUCUUCACCAUCCUGUUUUCUUAUUUAUUUAUUUAUUUUUUGCAAAAAAAACAUGGCGAAAUAUGGUUUUGGAAAUGACCCUUUAAUUAGCAUGUAUGUAUGUAUGUAUGUAUGUAUGUAUGUAUGUAUGUAUGUAUGUAUGUAUGAGUAGAGUUGAGAAGGGCUUUGGUAUUUUUCAUUGUAUUAAUCACUUUCGCGUAAAAUUGGCCGUGAUGCGAUGAGGAGAAUCAUCGUAAAUGUUUCCCGAGAACACAUGAUGAUGAUGAUAUCUGUAAUGUUAUAUACGAGCGGUACAUAUAUACAUGUACGUACAUGUUCGUAUUCGUAUGUUGCUUAAA
Long non-coding RNA from Tarenaya hassleriana, 884 nucleotides. RefSeq lists it as uncharacterized. The transcript is spliced from 2 exons. The record is from RefSeq and is a predicted model, not a curated record. NCBI's taxonomy places the organism in Eukaryota, Viridiplantae, Streptophyta, Magnoliopsida, Brassicales, Cleomaceae.